UCGGAUUGAAGGCUGAAAUUCGCCUUCAUGAAGCUGGAAUUGCUAGUAAUGGCAGGUCAGCAUACUGCCGUGAAUACGUUCCCGGGCCUUGUACACACCGCCCGUCACACCAUGAGAGUUGGGAAUACCCGAAGCCUGUGAGCUAACUUAUAGAGGCAGCAGUCGAAGGUAGAAUCAAUGAUUGGGGUGAAGUCGUAACAAGGUAAC
Molecule: ribosomal RNA, 207 nt
Filed under: uncultured bacterium
Lineage: Bacteria
Description: partial 16S ribosomal RNA
Rfam family: Bacterial small subunit ribosomal RNA
Source: RNAcentral